RNAcentral lists this ribosomal RNA (431 nucleotides) under uncultured bacterium. RNAcentral describes it as "bacterial SSU rRNA". It matches the Rfam family "Bacterial small subunit ribosomal RNA", at positions 30 to 462 of the family's 1533-position model. The record is from RNAcentral.
AUUGAACGCUGGCGGCAUGCCUUACACAUGCAAGUCGAACGGUAGAGUAGCAAUACUUGAGAGUGGCGAACGGGUGAGUAAUAUAUCGGAACGUGCCCAGUCGUGGGGGAUAACGUAGAGAAAUUUACGCUAAUACCGCAUACGAUCUAAGGAUGAAAGCGGGGGGAUUCGCAAGAACCUCGCGCGAUUGGAGCGGCUGAUAUCAGAUUAGGUUGUUGGUGAGGUAAAAGCUCACCAAGCCGACGAUCUGUAGCUGGUUUGAGAGAACGACCAGCCACACUGGGACUGAGACACGGCCCAGACUCCUACGGGAGGCAGCAGUGGGGAAUUUUGGACAAUGGGCGAAAGCCUGAUCCAGCAAUGCCGCGUGCAGGAAGAAAGGCCCUCGGGUUGUAAACUAGCUUGUUACGGUAACGAAACGGGUAACGGUA